This is an RNA transcript of Cebus imitator (Panamanian white-faced capuchin), 583 nucleotides long. It is a transcript of the gene named translocon-associated protein subunit gamma-like, with no coding region annotated. Lineage: Eukaryota; Metazoa; Chordata; Mammalia; Primates; Cebidae. The record is from RefSeq and is a predicted model, not a curated record. The transcript has a single exon.
CCAAGUCCUCCACGCUCUUCUUCGGGAACGCGUUCAUCGUGUCUGCCAUCCCCAUCUGGUUAUACUGGAGAAUACGGCUUAUGGAUCUUCUUCAGUCUGCUCUUUUGUAUAGUGUGAUGACCCUAGUAAGCACAUAUUUGGUAGCCUUUGCAUACAGAAAUGUGAAAUUUGUUCUCAAGCGCAGAGUAGCACAGAAGAGGGAGGAUGCUGUUUCCAAAGAAGUGACUCGAAACUUUCUGAAGCUGAUAAUAGAAAGAUGUCUCUGAAGGAGAAAGAUGAAAAAAUCUUGUGGAAGAAGAAUGAAGUUGCUGAUUAUGAAGCUACAUUUUCCAUCUUCUGUAACAGCAUUCUGUUCCUGGUCUUGGUCACUGUUGCUUCCUUCUUCAUAUUGAAGAACUUCAACCCCACAGUGAACUACAUUUUGUCCGUAAAUGCUUCAUCAGGACUCAUCCCCCUCCUGUCUACUGGCUCCAAGUAGACCAUGUCAGCUUACCCCCUGGCCUUGUGUCUAUGGGUGGCCUGCGGUAUACGGAAAAGUAGCAGGGUAGUCAGGGUGGGAGACACACGAGAUGUUUUCACAGUC